This 488-nucleotide ribosomal RNA is filed under the name uncultured bacterium. Its description in RNAcentral is "bacterial SSU rRNA". It matches the Rfam family "Bacterial small subunit ribosomal RNA", at positions 30 to 501 of the family's 1533-position model. The record is from RNAcentral.
AUUGAACGCUGGCGGAAUGCUUUACACAUGCAAGUCGAACGGUAACAGGCCUUCGGGCGCUGACGAGUGGCGAACGGGUGAGUAAUGCAUCGGAACGUGCCCAGAGGUGGGGGAUAACGCAGCGAAAGCUGUGCUAAUACCGCAUAUUAUCUGAGGAUGAAAGCGGGGGACUAAGCAGCAAUGUUUGGCCUCGCGCCUUUGGAGCGGCCGAUAUCAGAUUAGGUAGUUGGUGAGGUAAAGGCUCACCAAGCCAACGAUCUGUAGCUGGUCUGAGAGGACGACCAGCCACACUGGAACUGAGACACGGUCCAGACUCCUACGGGAGGCAGCAGUGGGGGAAUUUUGGGACAAUGGGCGAAAGCCUGAUCCAGCCAUUCCGCGUGCAGGAUGAAGGCCCUCGGGUUGUAAACUGCUUUUGUACAGAACGAAAAGGUCUCUAUUAAUACUAGGGGCUCAUGACGGUACUGUAAGAAUAAGCACCGGCUAAC